UCCGGCCUGUAAUGCAGACCUAUGUAACAACAUGUUUUUGAACACUUCGCUACACAGCUUCAUAGUAAGUCAUGUCCCUGAAGAUUCACGCACGUUUGCCCGCAUAAGUAAAGUAACAGUCAGGCUAACAGCGCAUUAUGCGUAAAUUAGUUUUAUUAAAAUUUUUAGGAGUCAUUCAUGGCUAAAGUAACUGGUGUAGUAAAGUGGUUCAACGCAGAUAAAGGUUUCGGUUUCAUCACUCAGGAUAACGGCGGCGCUGAUGCGUUCGUUCAUUUCCGUGCAAUCAUGACUGAAGGUUACAAAACCUUAAACGAAGGCCAACGUGUUGCUUUCGAAAUCGAACAAGGCCAAAAAGGCCCACAAGCUGCUAACGUAACUCUGCUGUAAUAGCAAAGCGCGUUCAGUUUAAAAAAGCGGCCAGUUUACUGGCCGUUUUUUAU
This 440-nucleotide small RNA is filed under the name Arsukibacterium sp. MJ3. RNAcentral's name for it is "cspA thermoregulator". It matches the Rfam family "cspA thermoregulator". Lineage: Bacteria; Pseudomonadati; Pseudomonadota; Gammaproteobacteria; Chromatiales; Chromatiaceae. The record is from Rfam by way of RNAcentral.